RNAcentral lists this ribosomal RNA (460 nucleotides) under uncultured bacterium. RNAcentral describes it as "partial 16S ribosomal RNA". It matches the Rfam family "Bacterial small subunit ribosomal RNA", at positions 338 to 795 of the family's 1533-position model. The record is from RNAcentral.
CCUACGGGAGGCAGCAGUGAGGAAUAUUGGUCAAUGGACGAGAGUCUGAACCAGCCAAGUAGCGUGAAGGAUGACUGCCCUAUGGGUUGUAAACUUCUUUUAUACAGGAAUAAAACGAGGUACGUGUGCCUUUUUGCAUGUACUUUAUGAAUAAGGAUCGGCUAACUCCGUGCCAGCAGCCGCGGUAAUACGGAGGAUCCGAGCGUUAUCCGGAGUUAUUGGGUUUAAAGGGAGCGUAGAUGGGUUGUUAAGUCAGUUGUGAAAGUUUGCGGCUCAACCGUAAAAUUGCACUGGAUACUGGCAGUCUUGAGUACGGUUAAGGUAGGCGGAAUUCGUGGUGUAGCGGUGAAAUGCUUAGAUAUCACGAAGAACCCCGAUUGCGAAGGCAGCUUGCUGAACUGUAACUGACGUUGAUGCUCGAAAGUGUGGGUAUCAAACAGGAUUAGAUACCCGUGUAGUC